UCUACGGGGGGCAGCAGUGGGGAAUAUUGCACAAUGGGCGCAAGCCUGAUGCAGCCAUGCCGCGUGUGUGAAGAAGGCCUUCGGGUUGUAAAGCACUUUCAGCGGGGAGGAAGGCGUUAAGGUUAAUAACCUUGGCGAUUGACGUUACCCGCAGAAGAAGCACCGGCUAACUCCGUGCCAGCAGCCGCGGUAAUACGGAGGGUGCAAGCGUUAACCGGAAUUACUGGGCGUAAAGCGCACGCAGGCGGUCUGUCAAGUCGGAUGUGAAAUCCCCGGGCUCAACCUGGGAACUGCAUUCGAAACUGGCAGGCUAGAGUCUUGUAGAGGGGGGUAGAAUUCCAGGUGUAGCGGUGAAAUGCGUAGAGAUCUGGAGGAAUACCGGUGGCGAAGGCGGCCCCCUGGACAAAGACUGACGCUCAGGUGCGAAAGCGUGGGGAGCAAACAGGAUUAGAUACCCCGGUAGUC
RNAcentral lists this ribosomal RNA (465 nucleotides) under uncultured Klebsiella sp. RNAcentral's name for it is "bacterial SSU rRNA". It matches the Rfam family "Bacterial small subunit ribosomal RNA", at positions 338 to 795 of the family's 1533-position model. The record is from RNAcentral. Lineage: Bacteria; Pseudomonadati; Pseudomonadota; Gammaproteobacteria; Enterobacterales; Enterobacteriaceae.